GAUGAACGCUGGCGGCGUGCCUAAUACAUGCAAGUCGAGCGAACGGACGAGAAGCUUGCUUCUCUGAUGUUAGCGGCGGACGGGUGAGUAACACGUGGAUAACCUACCUAUAAGACUGGGAUAACUUCGGGAAACCGGAGCUAAUACCGAUAAUAUUUUGAACCGCAUGGUUCAAAAGUGAAAGACGGUCUUGCUGUCACUUAUAGAUGGAUCCGCGCUGCAUUAGCUAGUUGGUAAGGUAACGGCUUACCAAGGCAACGAUGCAUAGCCGACCUGAGAGGGUGAUCGGCCACACUGGAACUGAGACACGGUCCAGACUCCUACGGGAGGCAGCAGUAGGGAAUCUUCCGCAAUGGGCGAAAGCCUGACGGAGCAACGCCGCGUGAGUGAUGAAGGUCUUCGGAUCGUAAAACUCUGUUAUUAGGGAAGAACAUAUGUGUAAGUAACUGUGCACAUCUUGACGGUACCUAAUCAGAAAGCCACGGCUAACUACGUG
This 496-nucleotide ribosomal RNA is filed under the name uncultured bacterium. RNAcentral describes it as "partial 16S ribosomal RNA". It matches the Rfam family "Bacterial small subunit ribosomal RNA", at positions 28 to 507 of the family's 1533-position model. The record is from RNAcentral.